UGGGGAAUAUUGGACAAUGGGGGGAACCCUGAUCCAGCCAUGCCGCGUGUGUGAAGAAGGCCUUAUGGUUGUAAAGCACUUUAAGCGAGGAGGAGGGUACUGGUAUUAAUACUACCAGGUACUGGACGUUACUCGCAGAAUAAGCAGCGGCUAACUCUGUGCCAGCAGCAGCGGUAAUACAGAGGGUGCGAGCGUUAAUCGGAUUUACUGGGCGUAAAGCGUGCGUAGGCGGCUAAUUGAGUCGGAUGUGAAAUCCCCGAGCUUAACUUGGGAAUUGCAUUCGAUACUGGUUAGCUAGAGUGUGGGAGAGGAUGGUAGAAUUCCAGGUGUAGCGGUGAAAUGCGUAGAGAUCUGGAGGAAUACCGAUGGCGAAGGCAGCCAUCUGGCCUAACACUGACGCUGAGGUACGAAAGCAUGGGGAGCAAACAGG
RNAcentral lists this ribosomal RNA (430 nucleotides) under Pseudomonadota bacterium. Its description in RNAcentral is "Proteobacteria bacterium partial 16S ribosomal RNA". It matches the Rfam family "Bacterial small subunit ribosomal RNA", at positions 355 to 776 of the family's 1533-position model. Lineage: Bacteria; Pseudomonadati; Pseudomonadota. The record is from RNAcentral.